RNAcentral lists this long non-coding RNA (685 nucleotides) under Phasianus colchicus (ring-necked pheasant). RNAcentral's name for it is "lncRNA (ENSPCLG00000008121.1)". Lineage: Eukaryota; Metazoa; Chordata; Aves; Galliformes; Phasianidae. The record is from RNAcentral.
UGGAUUUACUUAACUUAAACAUGUUGUUAAGGAAACAAAUAGCAUAGAGCUCCUAUGGAAUUGUAACAGAGGCUUACAUGGAGAUAUGACUGAGGCUGGCACCGUACUUUUAUGGGAGUUUUGAAAUGGCUGAAGGGGUAAAGUUGUAAAAACAAAUAGCAAACAACUCCUUCCACCUGUGCCCAAAUUUCCAUGUGAGCAGAAGCACCACGAACUGCAGUGUUGUCUGUUUUUAGGUGGUAUUUAUUUGCCUGUUUUAUUGUUGUUUUUUUUUCCCAUAGUUUCCCAGUUUUUCCCAAAGUUUAAUUUGGAUGUUGGUCUGCUUUAUGAGAGUAAGUUGGGCCUGUAGCUGCUACGCUGCUUCACAGGAAAAAUAUCUAUGUAUUAUGAAAAGUGGCCGUCUUAAAUUUAUUUUCUGCAUAUUUCUGAGUAACAGACCUAGGUAAAGAAAGUCACUGUAGCCUCUUGCUCUUCAUAUGUACAUUCUGAGUCAGAUAUUUCUCUCCAGAAAACAUUGUGAAAGGAUUCAUUGGUAAAGAUCCAAUUGCAAAAUCUUAGUCUAAAGUAGUGGUGGUUUCUUUCAACACAGAAAAUAAGUGCAAAGUGAAUGUAAGCAUUAAGUCUGUACUGGUAGUGCUACCUCCCUGUCAUAUAUUUUCACUUGUCAAAUAUUACUUGUUUCAGC